UCGCGGGUGGCCGAAUUUGGGAUGCAGCGGCAGAGGGAGGAUCGCUACAGCUUCGCCAGCACCGAGAUCCAGUGCGUGCGCUACUGGUGGGUACUGGGGAGUGGUAGGGGCCUUCCUCCUCUGCCCUCCUUCAUCAUCAUCAUUGGCUUCGUCAUCUUCUCCAUCUCCUCCGUCUUCUUCAACUCUUCCAUCUUCUUCAUCUUCUUCAUCUUCAUCUUCUCCAUCUUCUUCAUCUUCUUCAACUCUUCCAUCUUCUUCAUCUCCUCCAUCUCCUCCAUCUUCUUCAUCUUCAUCUUCAGCUUCUUCAUCUCUUCCAUCUCCUCCAUCUUCAUCUUCUUCAUCUUCUCCACCUCCUCAAUCUUCUUCAUCUUCUUCAUCUUCAUCUUCAUCUUCAUCUUCAUCUUCAUCUUCAUCUUCUGCAUCUUCUUCAUCUCUUCCAUCUUCUUCUUCUUCAUCUCCAUCUUCUUCUUCUUCAUCUUCAUCUUCUUCAUCUUCUUCAUCUCCUCCAUCUUCAUCUUCAUCUUCUUCAAUUCUUCCAUCUUCUUCAUCUUCUCCAUCUCCUCCAUCUUCACCUUCAUCUCCUCCAUCUUCUUCAUCUUCAUCUUCAUCUUCUUCAACUCCUCCAUCUUCUUCAUCUCCAUCUUUUUCAUCUUCUUCAUCUUCUCCAUCUCUUCCAUCUCUUCCAUCUCCUCCAUCUUCAUCUCUUCCAUCAUCUCCAUCAUCUUCAUCUCCACCCCUCUUCUGUCUCCUCCAUCAUCUUCAUCCCUUCUCCACCAUCUCCUCUUCCACAGCCUCCCAGAGACCCCCCUCAAAUCCCAUUGCCCCCUCCAGUACCCCCAUAGUGCCCUGCAGACCACCAUAGCACCCCACAGACCCCCCAAUCACCCCACAGACCCCCCAAUCACCCCAUAGACCCCCCCAAAUCACCCCGUAGACCCUUCCAACACCCCAUAACACCCCAAUCGCCCCAUAGACCCCCCAACGACCCCAUAGACCCCCUCCAAUCACCCCAUGGUCCCCCCCAACAUCCCCCAGACCCCCCCCAGUCACCCCAU
RNAcentral lists this long non-coding RNA (1055 nucleotides) under Anas platyrhynchos platyrhynchos (common mallard). RNAcentral describes it as "lncRNA (ENSAPLG00000020098.1)". Lineage: Eukaryota; Metazoa; Chordata; Aves; Anseriformes; Anatidae. The record is from RNAcentral.